CAACAGGGAUUGCCCUAGUAACGGCGAGUGAAGCGGCAACAGCUCAAAUUUGAAAUCUGGCGUCUUUGGCGUCCGAGUUGUAAUUUGCAGAGGGCGCUUUGGCAUUGGCAGCGGUCCAAGUUCCUUGGAACAGGACGUCACAGAGGGUGAGAAUCCCGUACGUGGUCGCUAGCCUUUACCGUGUAAAGCCCCUUCGACGAGUCGAGUUGUUUGGGAAUGCAGCUCUAAAUGGGAGGUAAAUUUCUUCUAAAGCUAAAUACUGGCCAGAGACCGAUAGCGCACAAGUAGAGUGAUCGAAAGAUGAAAAGCACUUUGGAAAGAGAGUUAAAAAGCACGUGAAAUUGUUGAAAGGGAAGCGCUUGCAGCCAGACUUGCCUGUAGUUGCUCAUCCGGGUUUUUACCCGGUGCACUCUUCUAUAGGCAGGCCAGCAUCAGUUUGGGCGGUUGGAUAAAGGUCUCUGUCACGUACCUCCUCUCGGGGAGAACUUAUAGGGGAGACGUAAUGCAACCAGCCUGGACUGAGGUCCGCGCAUCUGCUAGGAUGCUGGCGUAAUGGCUGUAAGCGGCCCGUCUUGAAACACGGACCAAGGAGUCUAACAUCUAUGCGAGUGUUUGGGUGUCAAGCCCGAGCGCGUAAUGAAAGUGAACGGAGGUGGGAACCUUUCGGGGUGCACCAUCGACCGAUCCUGAUGUCUUCGGAUGGAUUUGAGUAAGAGCAUAGCUGUUGGGACCCGAAAGAUGGUGAACUAUGCUUGAAUAGGGUGAAGCCAGAGGAAACUCUGGUGGAGGCUCGCAGCGGUUCUGACGUGCAAAUCGAUCGUCAAAUUUGGGCAUAGGGGCGAAAGACUAAUCGAACUAUCUAG
This 863-nucleotide ribosomal RNA is filed under the name Boeremia exigua. Its description in RNAcentral is "LSU rRNA". It matches the Rfam family "Eukaryotic large subunit ribosomal RNA", at positions 66 to 947 of the family's 3401-position model. The record is from RNAcentral. Lineage: Eukaryota; Fungi; Ascomycota; Dothideomycetes; Pleosporales; Didymellaceae.